GCGUGUGACUGGCGGAUCGUGGAUUAACCACAGGGAGCACGCAGAGGAAAUGAUGAGAAGCGCGCGCCGCGGGUUUUCCAUUGAAUAAGAGCCGACCGCCUGGGCAC
RNAcentral lists this non-coding RNA (107 nucleotides) under uncultured Enterocloster sp. RNAcentral describes it as "ZMP/ZTP riboswitch". It matches the Rfam family "ZMP/ZTP riboswitch aptamer (pfl RNA motif)", at positions 7 to 81 of the family's 86-position model. From Rfam's summary of the family: Previously known as pfl RNA. ZMP is also known as AICAR. The record is from RNAcentral. Lineage: Bacteria; Bacillati; Bacillota; Clostridia; Lachnospirales; Lachnospiraceae.